UGAACGCGAAGAACCUUACCUACUCUUGACAUCCAGAGAAUUUGCUAGAGAUAGCUUAGUGCCUUCGGGAACUCUGAGACAGGUGCUGCAUGGCUGUCGUCAGCUCGUGUUGUGAAAUGUUGGGUUAAGUCCCGCAACGAGCGCAACCCUUAUCCUUUGUUGCCAGCACGUAAUGGUGGGAACUCAAAGGAGACUGCCGGUGAUAAACCGGAGGAAGGUGGGGAUGACGUCAAGUCAUCAUGGCCCUUACGAGUAGGGCUACACACGUGCUACAAUGGCAUAUACAAAGAGAAGCGAACUCGCGAGAGCAAGCGGACCUCAUAAAGUAUGUCGUAGUCCGGAUUGGAGUCUGCAACUCGACUCCAUGAAGUCGGAAUCGCUAGUAAUCGUAGAUCAGA
RNAcentral lists this ribosomal RNA (398 nucleotides) under uncultured Rahnella sp. RNAcentral describes it as "bacterial SSU rRNA". It matches the Rfam family "Bacterial small subunit ribosomal RNA", at positions 956 to 1353 of the family's 1533-position model. The record is from RNAcentral. Lineage: Bacteria; Pseudomonadati; Pseudomonadota; Gammaproteobacteria; Enterobacterales; Yersiniaceae.